This 77-nucleotide transfer RNA is filed under the name Oscillospiraceae bacterium. RNAcentral describes it as "tRNA-Met". It matches the Rfam family "tRNA". Rfam says of the family: Transfer RNA (tRNA) molecules are approximately 80 nucleotides in length. Their secondary structure includes four short double-helical elements and three loops (D, anti-codon, and T loops). Lineage: Bacteria; Bacillati; Bacillota; Clostridia; Eubacteriales; Oscillospiraceae. The record is from RNAcentral.
GGCGGUAUAGCUCAGUUGGCUAGAGCAACCGGUUCAUACCCGGUAGGUCGUAAGUUCAAGUCUCACUGCCGCUACCA